GAUGAAGAACGUAGCGAAAUGCGAUAAGUAGUGUGAAUUGCAGAAUUCAGUGAAUCAUCGAAUCUUUGAACGCACAUUGCGCCCCUUGGUAUUCCAUGGGGCAUGCCUGUUCGAGCGUCAUUUGUACCUUCAAGCUUUGCUUGGUGUUGGGUGUUUGUCCCUCGGGACUCGCCUUAAAGUCAUUGGCAGCCAGUGUUUUGGUUUUGAAGCGCAGCACAAGUCGCGAUUCAAGGCUAUCCGCCCGCUUCCACAAGCCUUUUUCACUUUUGACCUCGGAUCAGGUAGGGAUACCCGCUGAACUUAAGCAUAUCAAAAGCGGAGGA
Molecule: unclassified non-coding RNA, 323 nt
Filed under: soil metagenome
Description: partial contains 5.8S ribosomal RNA, internal transcribed spacer 2, and large subunit ribosomal RNA
Rfam family: 5.8S ribosomal RNA (bases 1-120)
Source: RNAcentral